RNAcentral lists this ribosomal RNA (269 nucleotides) under uncultured bacterium. RNAcentral's name for it is "partial 16S ribosomal RNA". It matches the Rfam family "Bacterial small subunit ribosomal RNA", at positions 524 to 776 of the family's 1533-position model. The record is from RNAcentral.
GACAGAGGGGGCAAGCGUUGCUCGGAAUUACUGGGCGUAAAGGGCGCGUAGGCGGGAUGGCAAGUCGGUCGUGAAAUCCUUCGGCCCAACCGAAGAACGUCGAUCGAUACUGCUGUUCUAGAGGAUUGCAGAGGAGACUGGAAUUCCCGGUGUAGCGGUGAAAUGUGUAGAGAUCGGGAGGAACACCGGUGGCGAAGGCGGGUCUCUGGGCAGGAAGGCUCGCAAGAGCCGGCUGACACUGAGGCGCGACAGCGUGGGGAGCAAACAGG